AAGAAUAAAGUUCUGUGAAUGAGAGCUUGUCUUGCUCUUGGGGUAUUCUUG
This 51-nucleotide transfer RNA is filed under the name Hebesoma violentum. RNAcentral describes it as "tRNA-Asp". The record is from RNAcentral. Lineage: Eukaryota; Metazoa; Acanthocephala; Eoacanthocephala; Neoechinorhynchida; Neoechinorhynchidae.